This 29-nucleotide non-coding RNA is filed under the name Homo sapiens (human). Lineage: Eukaryota; Metazoa; Chordata; Mammalia; Primates; Hominidae. The record is from RNAcentral.
UGGCAUGCCUGAAAACAGGGCACAUCGCA